UGCGGGGUGGAGCAGUCCGGUAGCUCGUUGGGCCCAUAACCCAAAGAUCCCAGGUUCAAAUCCUGGCCCCGCUACCA
Molecule: transfer RNA, 77 nt
Filed under: Candidatus Altarchaeales archaeon
Lineage: Archaea; Nanobdellati; Candidatus Altarchaeota; Candidatus Altarchaeia; Candidatus Altarchaeales
Description: tRNA-Met
Rfam family: tRNA
About the family: Transfer RNA (tRNA) molecules are approximately 80 nucleotides in length. Their secondary structure includes four short double-helical elements and three loops (D, anti-codon, and T loops).
Source: RNAcentral